UACGUAGGGUGCAAGCGUUGUCCGGAAUUAUUGGGCGUAAAGAGCUCGUAGGCGGUUUGUCGCGUCUGCUGUGAAAAACCCGAGGCUCAACCUCGGGCCUGCAGUGGGUACGGGCAGACUAGAGUGCGGUAGGGGAGAUUGGAAUUCCUGGUGUAGCGGUGGAAUGCGCAGAUAUCAGGAGGAACACCAGUGGCGAAGGCGCUUUCUGGUCUGUAACUGACGCUGAGGCGCGAAAGCGUGGGGGAGCAAACAGG
This 254-nucleotide ribosomal RNA is filed under the name uncultured bacterium. RNAcentral's name for it is "partial 16S ribosomal RNA". It matches the Rfam family "Bacterial small subunit ribosomal RNA", at positions 524 to 776 of the family's 1533-position model. The record is from RNAcentral.